Molecule: ribosomal RNA, 546 nt
Filed under: uncultured Glomus
Lineage: Eukaryota; Fungi; Glomeromycota; Glomeromycetes; Glomerales; Glomeraceae
Description: SSU rRNA
Rfam family: Eukaryotic small subunit ribosomal RNA
Source: RNAcentral
UUGGAGGGCAAGUCUGGUGCCAGCGGCCGCGGUAAUUCCAGCUCCAAUAGCGUAUAUUAAAGUUGCUGCAGUUAAAAAGCUCGUAGUUGAAUUUCGGGACCAUCAUGUCGGUCGUGCCUCGGUACGUACUGGUAUUGUUGGUUUCUCCCUUCUGACGAACCAUGAUGUCAUUUAUUUGGUGUUGUGGGGAAUCAGGACUGUUACUUUGAAAAAAUUAGAGUUUAAAGCAGGCUCACGCUUGAAUACAUUAGCAUGGAAUAAUGAAAUAGGACGUUUGAUUCUAUUUUGUUGGUUUCUAGGAUCGACGUAAUGAUUAAUAGGGAUAGUUGGGGACAUUAGUAUUCAAUUGUCAGAGGUGAAAUUCUUGGAUUUAUUGAAGACUAACUACUGCGAAAGCAUUUGCCAAGGAUGUUUUCAUUAAUCAAGAACGAAAGUUAGGGGAUCGAAGACGAUCAGAUACCGUCGUAGUCUUAACCAUAAACUAUGCCGACUAGGGAUCGGAUGAUGUUAAUUUUUUAAUGACUCAUUCGGCGCCUUACGGGAAAC